GGUGAUAUGGUGUCCAGUUGCUGCUUGAAGUACUCCCUCUAGCCUAGAGAAUAUUUGCUUGCUCAUAUAGAGUGAACCUUCUGUGCUCUUGGCUUCUGACUGGUUAGGAAAUGCCCUCAGGAAGAUGGAGAUGAAAGUUCAGAUACAGAGAAAGGAGGGAAUUGUGAUUCUUGAGCAGGGAUUGUUACCACUCAGAGAGGAGAGCAACCUGGAGCUCAAGCAGGAGAGGUGCUCUUCAGAUGGCUCUCCACAUUGUCUUCCCUAACACACCAGUGAGGCACGAGACCAGGGCAGAAAUUCCAGUGUGGGGAGGGUGUGAGUCAUGAGAUGACACUGACCAUUAGGAAGACACUGCUGCAGAGUCUGAAACCAAACCAGCCUGUUCCUUGUUCUCAAGUCAUCUUGGGUUGGAAGCUGCUGAAAACUUCCUUCUGGAUAAAUAACUGUGACGUCCCCAUCAUGCCCAGAAUUGGAUUUCUUCACUGGGAUUACUGAAACACUGGUCUGCUCCGAGGCUUCUCUCAUAGAGGAAUUGUUCAGCUCCACAACAGGAGUGAGAAAAGUUUAAAUGCUUUGGGGCUCACUCCCAGGCACAAGACUUUAUUAUCUGAGCUUUUGUUUGGAAAUAAAUUGAGUUCUUGUCAUAGAUUUGGCA
Molecule: long non-coding RNA, 655 nt
Filed under: Cyanistes caeruleus (blue tit)
Lineage: Eukaryota; Metazoa; Chordata; Aves; Passeriformes; Paridae
Description: lncRNA (ENSCCEG00000005994.1)
Source: RNAcentral